AACGAACGCUGGUGGUAUGCUUAACACAUGCAAGUCGAACGAAUUUAUAUAGCUUGCUAUAUAAGUUAGUGGCAAACGGGUGAGUAAUAUAUAGGAAUCUACCUAAUAGUAUGGAAUAACUCCGGGAAACUGGGGCUAAUACCAUAUAAUACCGAUUUAUCGGGAAAGAUUUAUCGCUAUUAGAUGAGCCUGUAUCAGAUUAGCUAGUUGGUAGGGUAAAGGCCUACCAAGGCUAUGAUCUGUAGCUGGUCUGAGAGGAUGAUCAGCCACACUGGGACUGCGACACGGCCCAGACUCCUACGGGAGGCAGCAGUGGGGAAUAUUGGACAAUGGGCGAAAGCCUGAUCCAGCAAUACCACGUGAAUGAUGAAGGCCUUAGGGUUGUAAAAUUCUUUUAGCAGGAAAGAUAAUGACGGUACCUGCAGAAAAAGCACCGGCUAACUUCG
RNAcentral lists this ribosomal RNA (446 nucleotides) under uncultured Rickettsiales bacterium. RNAcentral describes it as "bacterial SSU rRNA". It matches the Rfam family "Bacterial small subunit ribosomal RNA", at positions 29 to 505 of the family's 1533-position model. The record is from RNAcentral. Lineage: Bacteria; Pseudomonadati; Pseudomonadota; Alphaproteobacteria; Rickettsiales.